Non-coding RNA from Aspergillus chevalieri, 95 nucleotides. Lineage: Eukaryota; Fungi; Ascomycota; Eurotiomycetes; Eurotiales; Aspergillaceae. The record is from the annotation of a RefSeq genome assembly.
UGGCCAGUGGCUUAGUGGUAUGGACACUAAGCCUGGCUAGACUGCUGGUGCAGACAUCACUCAGCAGUUUGUGGGUUCGAAUCCCGCCUGGCCCU